GGUGGCUCAGUGGUAGAGUUCUUGCCUCACAUGUAUGAGGCCCUAGGUUCGAUUCCUCAGCACCA
RNAcentral lists this transfer RNA (65 nucleotides) under Dipodomys ordii (Ord's kangaroo rat). It matches the Rfam family "tRNA". From Rfam's summary of the family: Transfer RNA (tRNA) molecules are approximately 80 nucleotides in length. Their secondary structure includes four short double-helical elements and three loops (D, anti-codon, and T loops). The record is from Rfam by way of RNAcentral. Lineage: Eukaryota; Metazoa; Chordata; Mammalia; Rodentia; Heteromyidae.